This 497-nucleotide ribosomal RNA is filed under the name uncultured bacterium. Its description in RNAcentral is "partial 16S ribosomal RNA". It matches the Rfam family "Bacterial small subunit ribosomal RNA", at positions 28 to 507 of the family's 1533-position model. The record is from RNAcentral.
GAUGAACGCUGGCGGCGUGCCUAAUACAUGCAAGUCGAGCGAACAGACGAGGAGCUUGCUCCUCUGACGUUAGCGGCGGACGGGUGAGUAACACGUGGAUAACCUACCUAUAAGACUGGGAUAACUUCGGGAAACCGGAGCUAAUACCGGAUAAUAUAUUGAACCGCAUGGUUCAAUAGUGAAAGACGGUUUUGCUGUCACUUAUAGAUGGAUCCGCGCCGCAUUAGCUAGUUGGUAAGGUAACGGCUUACCAAGGCAACGAUGCGUAGCCGACCUGAGAGGGUGAUCGGCCACACUGGAACUGAGACACGGUCCAGACUCCUACGGGAGGCAGCAGUAGGGAAUCUUCCGCAAUGGGCGAAAGCUUGACGGAGCAACGCCGCGUGAGUGAUGAAGGUCUUCGGAUGGUAAAACUCUGUUAUUAGGGAAGAACAAAUGUGUAAGUAACUAUGCACGUCUUGACGGUACCUAAUCAGAAAGCCACGGCUAACUACGUG